GGCAGCAGACAGAAUGCUGUGAACUCAAAGCGGUAGUAACUUUAGUAAGUGUGACAUUUACAGGGCAGAAUGCGAAGUCCUAUUCUGUUAGCAACACAAACACACAGAGGCACAUAUUUUUUUGCCCAUCCAUUUGGAGAGGAAAAGCCAAAGAGGAUAUAGACUUAGCUAUGAAAGAACAAAUGUUGAAAUUCUACAGCUGGGCCGUGCCACCUCUUCUAAUCUCUGUCUGGUUGGCUGUUUAUGCCGAUGUUGGAAAUACAGCAAAGGAAAAUGCUGCCAUCUCAUCUAAUUUGUCUGCCACGACCACAACCCAUUCUGGAGUGCUUCACACAGAGAUAGUCCCCCUUAAGCCAGAGCAUCCGUCUGUAACUCAGACCCCAGGAAAAGAGAAGGCCAAAGAGGGAGAAACAGUGUCCUUAGGGUGCCAGUUCUGCAGUCCCCAAGGUCCAUCUUUGAACAAGCUAACGGUGAAGUGGUACAAGGAAGAUGAAAAAGGGCGGACGGGCCUCAUGGAAAACAAUGUCACUAUCUUGGCAAACUACUCCAAAUUUUUUAUGUCAGGGAAUUUAUCGGAAGGUGAUGCAUCUCUAACUAUCCUAAAUGUGACAGCGAGUGAUCAUGGUACAUAUUUCUGCCAGGUGACACUUUCCACUGGAGAAAUACUGACGGGGGAUGGCACGAAGCUCAGGAUCAGGAGAGCCCUGGGUAAAGUUCUUUCAUUCUUUUGACUGUUUGGUAUUGAAGAAUCCAUUGGAACAAUAAUUGGAGUAGCAGCAGCUGGCAUUGGCGGCUUGGUAGUUCUGAUCAUAGUUUUAACUCCUCAGCUGAGGAAGUGCCUUCCGUGUGCUAAAGCAACAUCCCAACCAGCUUAAUGUCGGCAACAUGAGUAAAAAAACUAAUGUGCCAAGGGUGAAAUUUUUUUCAAUGUAAACAAAAACAAUCAAUUGUUUGAGCGUUUUCUGUGGUAUGUCUCAAGAUAUAAUAAAAUGUUACUUUUAGAAUCCUUUUAAGAACAGA
This is an RNA transcript of Eublepharis macularius, 1020 nucleotides long. RefSeq lists it as uncharacterized. Lineage: Eukaryota; Metazoa; Chordata; Lepidosauria; Squamata; Eublepharidae. The transcript is spliced from 4 exons. The record is from RefSeq and is a predicted model, not a curated record.